RNAcentral lists this long non-coding RNA (312 nucleotides) under Linum usitatissimum (flax). RNAcentral describes it as "long non-coding RNA (LUSI_LNC002053)". Lineage: Eukaryota; Viridiplantae; Streptophyta; Magnoliopsida; Malpighiales; Linaceae. The record is from RNAcentral.
CCAUGUAGUAAUGUUAUGUUUUUAUCAGUUUUGUGUGUGUCCAUAGUAAAUGGCAUUGAUGUAGAUAGGGAAAGGUUUCGUGGUAUUUUUGUGAGUGUUCUUUUUCUUUGGCGACUGGUCUACGAGAUGUCUCUUAGUAAUGGUUCUUCUGUGUAAGUUGUGUGUAUUAAGUUGUUACGAGAAAAAUAAAUACAAAGAGGAAAACUGAUCCAUUUGGGAACUCAUUUCGGUGGGUGCGGUUCUGGCUCGAGGAGACAUGACUUAUUAGACGGGUUCGAAAAAAAUGUCAAUUACACGAAACGUACAUGUCGG